This 73-nucleotide transfer RNA is filed under the name Spirochaetaceae bacterium. RNAcentral's name for it is "tRNA-Pro". It matches the Rfam family "tRNA". From Rfam's summary of the family: Transfer RNA (tRNA) molecules are approximately 80 nucleotides in length. Their secondary structure includes four short double-helical elements and three loops (D, anti-codon, and T loops). Lineage: Bacteria; Pseudomonadati; Spirochaetota; Spirochaetia; Spirochaetales; Spirochaetaceae. The record is from RNAcentral.
CGGAGGGUAGGCCAGUGGUUAAGCCACCAGUUUUGGGAACUGGACAUCAGGGGUUCAAGUCCCCUCCCUCCGA